AGCUAUUUAGUUUAAUAAUAAAAACUAUUGUCUUGUAAACUUUAAAUAAAAUUUAUAAUUUUAAUAGCUU
Molecule: transfer RNA, 70 nt
Filed under: Gasteruption parvicollarium
Lineage: Eukaryota; Metazoa; Arthropoda; Insecta; Hymenoptera; Gasteruptiidae
Description: tRNA-Thr
Source: RNAcentral